RNAcentral lists this long non-coding RNA (808 nucleotides) under Heterocephalus glaber (naked mole-rat). RNAcentral's name for it is "lncRNA (ENSHGLG00000038084.1)". Lineage: Eukaryota; Metazoa; Chordata; Mammalia; Rodentia; Bathyergidae. The record is from RNAcentral.
GGAUUCUUGUCAUAAAAUUUUUCCCUAUAAUUUUGACUAAAAUAUAAUUUCCCUCCAGUAGGUGGCAGCAUGAGUUACCACAGCCUUUGAAUUAGGUUCUUGAUGGUCACAGCAGGAUAUGACCUGAACGUGCUGGAGAAAGGAAGUAACUGCAGAAUUAACAUCCUCAUGCAAAAUGGGAGAAAAAUUCACAACUUUAAAAAAAGAAAAAUGCUCCACAUCUAACCACACUUGUGAAAUACCUGCAGCAAGUCUCUCCAUCUGGUAAGCCAACAUCAGAGCUGAUACGCAUGAAGCAUUUAGAAUCAGAAGCACAGUUACCCCAUCACUGUCUUCCCAAUGUGUCAUGGCAUCAGAGGACAAAAGUGAAUGAAGCAGCCAUUUGAAGUUACGCUUGAAGAGAAGACAGGCCUCCUCUUGUUGACCUGUGAAUAUACUCUGUGGAAGAAAAGACUUGAAGGCAUACUACUUCCUACAUAACUCUGAGGAGUACUGCGGACUGGGCAACUGCACAUGGACUUACUGAAGAGGAAAGUCCCACUAUCUGGGUGUGGGUGGCACCAACCAAUAGGCUUGCAGCCUGGACAGAAUAAGAAGGGAAAGAAGAAGAAAGUGUCACUGCUGCUUCUUCAGAGGAGCUCCAGUCUUCGCCAUUGCUUUGGGACAUUCAUCUCUAGCCUUCCAGUGGAGACUCUCCAGCUUCCUGAUACGGACUCCGAAGUGAGCUCCAGGCCUUUGACCUUUGACAGGAUCCUUUAGAUCUCCAGCAUGUGGACAGACCCUUUAUGUUCUCACACCUGACUCUGAG